This 295-nucleotide ribosomal RNA is filed under the name uncultured bacterium. RNAcentral's name for it is "partial 16S ribosomal RNA". It matches the Rfam family "Bacterial small subunit ribosomal RNA", at positions 334 to 632 of the family's 1533-position model. The record is from RNAcentral.
UAUGCCUACGGGGGGCAGCAGUGGGGAAUAUUGCACAAUGGGGGAAACCCUGAUGCAGCGACGCCGCGUGAGUGAAGAAGUAUCUCGGUACGUAAAGCUCUCUCAGCAGGGAAGAAAAAAAGUCUUUGGCUUUGGACGGUACCUGACUAAGAAGCCCCGGCUAACUACGUGCAAGCAGCCGCGGUAAUACGUAGGUGGCGAGCGUUAUCAGGAAUGAUUGGGCGUAAAGGGUGCGUAGGCGGCCUGCUAAGUCUGGAGUGAACGGUACCGGCUCAACCGGUACAGGCUCGGGAAA